CCUGAUCAAAAUGCUUAUCUGGAUUUCCAACCCCUCUUACAUUCCAAAAUAGUAGCUUCAUUCUUAUUUUUAAGGGUUAAACAUAGAUAGAAUUCCCAGCAUCCAUGAUUGUCAUACGUAAAGAUGAUAUUCAAGUAGUUGUGACUGUCUCCUGAUCCAAAUUUGCUUAGUAGUUAUGGUUUUGCUUUCUUGAUUCAUUCCUUUCAAUGUCAACCAACUGAUGUGCUUAGCAAUAGCUGAUUUCAGUGGCAAAACAAAGACCAAAAUCGAAGCCAGUCGAUGUUCCACAUGCAGUGUGUUCAUGCCCGGUUGAUUGCGGGUUUGGCUCCGCAACAUGCUGCCUCAAGACCUUUGAGCUUGUUGAUUGAACUCAUGGUCACCUGCAGGAAACAGUGACCACAUUUCUUACCUAGAGCUCUGAUCUCACCUGCCGUGAGAGAGUUGACGAAGAGGAUGUCAUCCGGCUUCAGUACUUCUUCAUGCAGUCCGCGAGUCUUGAUUUUUUUCUUCCUAAGUCUCGGGCUUCUCUUGACUCCUUGGUUCCUAGUUGUUUGCUCCAUAAGCUUAAAAGCAGCAAACGUCAUGACAAUAUAACCUUCCGAUAUAGAUACCACUAAACAAAUAUUUC
RNAcentral lists this long non-coding RNA (628 nucleotides) under Elaeis guineensis (African oil palm). Its description in RNAcentral is "long non-coding RNA (EGUI_LNC081307)". Lineage: Eukaryota; Viridiplantae; Streptophyta; Magnoliopsida; Arecales; Arecaceae. The record is from RNAcentral.